GGGCCCGUAGCUCAGUUGGUCAGAGCAGCGGACUCAUAAUCCGUAGGUCGCAGGUUCGAGCCCUGCCGGGCCCACCC
This 77-nucleotide transfer RNA is filed under the name Actinomycetota bacterium. RNAcentral's name for it is "tRNA-Met". It matches the Rfam family "tRNA". Rfam says of the family: Transfer RNA (tRNA) molecules are approximately 80 nucleotides in length. Their secondary structure includes four short double-helical elements and three loops (D, anti-codon, and T loops). Lineage: Bacteria; Bacillati; Actinomycetota. The record is from RNAcentral.